GCCCCCAUAGCUUAAUGGUAAAGCAGUUGCCUCUUAAGCAAUUGAUGUAGGUCCGAUUCCUACUGGGGGUACCA
RNAcentral lists this transfer RNA (74 nucleotides) under Candidatus Parcubacteria bacterium 4484_255. RNAcentral describes it as "tRNA-Lys". It matches the Rfam family "tRNA". Rfam says of the family: Transfer RNA (tRNA) molecules are approximately 80 nucleotides in length. Their secondary structure includes four short double-helical elements and three loops (D, anti-codon, and T loops). Further hydrogen bonds mediate the characteristic L-shaped molecular structure. tRNAs have two regions of fundamental functional importance: the anti-codon, which is responsible for specific mRNA codon recognition, and the 3' end, to which the tRNAs corresponding amino acid is attached (by aminoacyl-tRNA synthetases). tRNAs cope with the degeneracy of the genetic code in two manners: having more than one tRNA (with a specific anti-codon) for a particular amino acid; and 'wobble' base-pairing, i.e. permitting non-standard base-pairing at the 3rd anti-codon position. The record is from RNAcentral. Lineage: Bacteria; Candidatus Parcubacteria.